RNAcentral lists this ribosomal RNA (475 nucleotides) under uncultured organism. RNAcentral describes it as "partial 16S ribosomal RNA". It matches the Rfam family "Bacterial small subunit ribosomal RNA", at positions 331 to 797 of the family's 1533-position model. The record is from RNAcentral.
GUACACUCCUACGGGAGGCAGCAGUGGGGAAUAUUGCACAAUGGGCGCAAGCCUGAUGCAGCCAUGCCGCGUGUAUGAAGAAGGCCUUCGGGUUGUAAAGUACUUUCAGCGGGGAGGAAGGCAAUACGGUUAAUAACCGUGUUGAUUGACGUUACCCGCAGAAGAAGCACCGGCUAACUCCGUGCCAGCAGCCGCGGUAAUACGGAGGGUGCAAGCGUUAAUCGGAAUUACUGGGCGUAAAGCGCACGCAGGCGGUCUGUCAAGUCGGAUGUGAAAUCCCCGGGCUCAACCUGGGAACUGCAUUCGAAACUGGCAGGCUUGAGUCUUGUAGAGGGGGGUAGAAUUCCAGGUGUAGCGGUGAAAUGCGUAGAGAUCUGGAGGAAUACCGGUGGCGAAGGCGGCCCCCUGGACAAAGACUGACGCUCAGGUGCGAAAGCGUGGGGAGCAAACAGGAUUAGAAACCCUAGUAGUCCCA